GGGGUUGUGGGUUAACUUGGUUAGACUUUCGGGUUUGGGACCCGACGAUCCCGGUUCAAAUCCGGGCAGCCUCA
Molecule: transfer RNA, 74 nt
Filed under: Candidatus Woesearchaeota archaeon
Lineage: Archaea; Nanobdellati; Candidatus Woesearchaeota
Description: tRNA-Pro
Rfam family: tRNA
About the family: Transfer RNA (tRNA) molecules are approximately 80 nucleotides in length. Their secondary structure includes four short double-helical elements and three loops (D, anti-codon, and T loops).
Source: RNAcentral